Molecule: long non-coding RNA, 1837 nt
Filed under: Marmota monax (woodchuck)
Lineage: Eukaryota; Metazoa; Chordata; Mammalia; Rodentia; Sciuridae
Source: RNAcentral
AGAAGAUCCCUGUUUAUCCCAGUGCUUCCUGGCAGUGUGAAGUUGGAUCUGAGACCCUGGGAUGUCUGGGAGUGGAUGUGGGUGGGGCAGGACUUCCAGGCAGAGGGAGCCAUGAGCAGGUGCCAGCAGGAGAGCUCUGGCCCUUCCAGAUUCCUCCAGCUGCAGUAGGACCAUCAGCCGUGAGGAGGGCAGGAUGACCUGGGAGCCCGCAGAGCUGGCCGGGAAGUGGAGACCUGCUCCAGACAGACUGCUCCAGACAGGGCGGAGAGGGUGGGCCUGAUCAGUGUGUUCGACACAUGGUGAUCGAAUCAGCCAGCCGAGUGGGCAGGGGUGCUGUGACCAAGGGGGAUGUGUCCCUGGAACCCUAGCUCUUGCCAGGGUGACUCUACCAUGUGCUGUUAACUCGGGCAGGAGUUCAGAGUGGCAGGUUUUCUGGGGAUGUUCGGGUUGGGUGUGGCUCUGAGUUCUGUGGGAUGCUCCAGGGAGGGAAGUCUUCUGCAGCUCGGGAGCUGGUGGGACCACAGGGGUCAUCCCUGCACGGUAUAGAGCUGGCUCUCACCCCAGAGCAGACCUGGCCAGUGGGGGGUCACGGAAGGCCUGGCCUGGGGCGGGGUUCACCCUGGGGACCUGGGGAGCCAGUGAGGGCCUUGGGGAGUGACUGGGUGUAGCAAGAGGUGGCUGUGUUCCCAGGAGUGUGCAAUCUCCAGCCUCUUCCCUGUGCCCCACCAUGUGCAAAGCGCAGCCACAGGUGCUGUCCCCAUGGGCUCAGGAGACUGAGUUUUAUAGGUGGGGAAACUGAAGACCAAAGAAGUUCAGGUGAGGCCCCAGGAAACAGCCACUUCUCCUCCUAACCCACGUGGUCCCUCCUUGUCCCUCCAUCAUGUGUUCAGGUGGCUCAGUAAUCACGCCUCCCAGAGAUUUGGUUCAAGUGCGUUUAAAAGUAAUGGCAAUAGCUGGGCAUGAUGGCCAAACCUGCAAUCCCAGCAGCUCAGGAAGCCGAGGCAGGAGGAUCAAGUUCAAGUCUGUCUCAGCAAUUUAGUGAGACCCUAAGCAUCCGAGUGAGACCCUAAGUAUCCGAGUGAGACCUUGUCUCUAAGUAAAUACAAAAAAAGGCUGGGGAUGUGGCUCUGUGGUACAGUGCCCCUGGGUUCAACCCUGGUACAAAAAACAAAACAAAAACAAAACAAAACAAAAAUAGUGACACUAACAAGGAAAUCGCUCUGAGGUAGAGGCCUCUGCAGCUGCGCUAAUGCUCAUGGGUUGGAAGUUCAGUGGGCCAACAGGUAAUCACAGCAAAUAUCGGCGAUCACAUGGAUCGAAGGUUGGAAAUAAUUGGAAAUUGAUUUUUCUGUGUGGAAACAGGGAACGUUGAGAAUCAUCCUAGCUGAGCCUUCAUGCAAAGAGGGCAUAAGGCCUUCUUAAGUUCUCAAAGCCACGGUCACAGCUGUGACCCCGAGAACACAGUCAGGUGCUCGAGGCGAAGCUGAAGAUAAGAAGUGGCUCUAUGGUCGCAGAGUGUGCCCAUGCCCACCUCCUGGUGCCCUGCCCACCUCCUGGUGCCCUGCCCACCUCCUGGUGCUCAUGCCCACCUCCUGGUGCCCAUGCCCACCUCCUGGUGCCCUGUCCACCUCCUGGUGCCCUGCCCACCUCCUGGUGCCAUGCCCACCUCCUGGUGCCCUGUCCACCUCCUGGUGCCCAUGCCCACCUCCUGGUGCCCAUGCCCACCUCCUGGUGCCCUGCCCACCUCCUGGUACCCUGCCCACCUCCUGGUGCCAUGCCUACCUCCUGGUGCCAUGCCUACCUCCUGGUGCCCUGUCCAUCUCCUGGUGCUCAUGCC